RNAcentral lists this non-coding RNA (24 nucleotides) under Arabidopsis thaliana (thale cress). The record is from RNAcentral. Lineage: Eukaryota; Viridiplantae; Streptophyta; Magnoliopsida; Brassicales; Brassicaceae.
AGGGCAAAUUCGUCAAUUUUGGGC